AAACGCUGGCGGCGUGUCUUAAGCAUGCAAGUCGAGCGGCAGGCGCAGCAAUGCGCUGAGAGCGGCGGACUGGUGAGUAACGCGUGGGUAAUCUACCUUUGGCAUGGGGAUAGCCACUAGAAAUAGUGGGUAAUACCGAAUACGUUCCCUGGGGGGAGGUUUCAGGGAAGAAAGGGUGCUACGGCACCGGCCAAAGAUGAGCUCGCGUCCCAUUAGCUAGUUGGUGAGGUAAUGGCCCACCAAGGCGAUGAUGGGUAGCCGGCCUGAGAGGGUGUACGGCCACNCUGGGACUGANAUACGGCCCANACUCCUACGGGAGGCAGCAGCUAAGAAUAUUCCGCAAUGGACGAAAGUCUGACGGANCGACGCCNCGUGGAUGAUGAAGGCCGAAAGGUUGUAAAG
RNAcentral lists this ribosomal RNA (402 nucleotides) under uncultured bacterium. Its description in RNAcentral is "bacterial SSU rRNA". It matches the Rfam family "Bacterial small subunit ribosomal RNA", at positions 32 to 430 of the family's 1533-position model. The record is from RNAcentral.